ACGCACGCUGGCGGCGUGCUUCACACCUGCAAGUCGAACGGAAAGGCCCUGCUUUUGUGGGGUGCUCGAGUGGCGAACGGGUGAGUAACACGUGAGUAACCUGCCCUUGACUUUGGGAUAACUUCAGGAAACUGGGGCUAAUACCGGAUAGGAGCUCCUGCUUCAUGGUGGGGGUUGGAAAGUUUCGGCGGUUGGGGAUGGACUCGCGGCUUAUCAGCUUGUUGGUGGGGUAGUGGCUUACCAAGGCUUUGACGGGUAGCCGGCCUGAGAGGGUGACCGGCCACAUUGGGACUGAGAUACGGCCCAGACUCCUACGGGAGGCAGCAGUGGGGAAUAUUGCACAAUGGGCGGAAGCCUGAUGCAGCAACGCCGCGUGCGGGAUGACGGCCUUCGGGUUGUAAACCGCUUUCGCCUGUGACGAAGCGUGAGUGACGGUAAUGGGUAAAGAAGCACCGGCUAACUACGUG
RNAcentral lists this ribosomal RNA (467 nucleotides) under uncultured bacterium. Its description in RNAcentral is "partial 16S ribosomal RNA". It matches the Rfam family "Bacterial small subunit ribosomal RNA", at positions 29 to 507 of the family's 1533-position model. The record is from RNAcentral.